AUUGAACGCUGGCGGCAUGCCUUACACAUGCAAGUCGAACGUGAAAGCGGGGGCAACCCGCAAGUAGAGUGGCGGACGGGUGAGUAAUACAUCGGAACGUGUCCAGUAAUGGGGGAUAACCUAGCGAAAGUUAGGCUAAUACCGCAUACGAUCUGCGGAUGAAAGCGGGGGAUGCGGCACUAAAGGCUUUUGGCGAAGGUGGCCAAAGGUGAGUCAAGAGCUUUUAGUGCNGCACCUCGCGUUAUUGGAGCGGCUGAUGUCUGAUUAGCUAGUUGGUGAGGUAAAGGCUUACCAAGGCGACGAUCAGUAGCUGGUCUGAGAGGACGGCCAGCCACACUGGGACUGAGACACGGCCCAGACUCCUACGGGAGGCAGCAGUGGGGGAAUUUUGGACAA
Molecule: ribosomal RNA, 396 nt
Filed under: uncultured bacterium
Lineage: Bacteria
Description: bacterial SSU rRNA
Rfam family: Bacterial small subunit ribosomal RNA
Source: RNAcentral